RNAcentral lists this ribosomal RNA (253 nucleotides) under uncultured bacterium. RNAcentral describes it as "partial 16S ribosomal RNA". It matches the Rfam family "Bacterial small subunit ribosomal RNA", at positions 524 to 776 of the family's 1533-position model. The record is from RNAcentral.
UACAGAGGGGGCAAGCGUUGUUCGGAAUUACUGGGCGUAAAGGGCGCGUAGGCGGCCUUCUAAGUCGAACGUGAAAUCCCCGGGCUCAACCUGGGAACUGCAUCUGUGACUGCAUCGCUGGAGUGCGGCAGAGGGGGAUGGAAUUCCGCGUGUAGCAGUGAAAUGCGUAGAUAUGCGGAGGAACACCGAUGGCGAAGGCAAUCCCCUGGGCCUGCACUGACGCUCAUGCACGAAAGCGUGGGGAGCAAACAGG